Molecule: long non-coding RNA, 33724 nt
Filed under: Solanum tuberosum (potato)
Lineage: Eukaryota; Viridiplantae; Streptophyta; Magnoliopsida; Solanales; Solanaceae
Description: long non-coding RNA (STUB_LNC008406)
Source: RNAcentral
AAAAUGUUAAAUAGGUUAAAAAAUAAUAAUUUCGCACGCACAUAAAUAGUCGUGAGUUAUGGAAUCUGAAGUUGGAAGGUUCACUAUCUUAUCUGGAAUGGAUAUUUACUUUUUAUACGACAAAACGGAUAAUUCGUUAGAGUUGAGCGACAUGUCGGAUUAUUAAUAGCUGUCAAACGACCGUUUAUUCGUUUUAAUUCUUUUUGGUAAGCCGGCGUUGAGAAACUUGCCGUUAUUAAUUUUAAAAAAUUGUUGGGUUUAUUAAUGACUUAACAUUAUUGCUAUUUUGAAAGACUGUUGGAUUUUAAAAAACCGUUUAUACAUCCGUUAUUAAUUUUGACAAGUCGCUCAAAGUUUAUCCAUUUUGAUAUAAAAAUAAUAAGGAAAAUCGAUUAUUUAUCAAAAACCAAAAAAAGUGUACUAAUAAAGGUAAUUAUGUUCUCGUUUCAAUAAUUGAAAUAACAAUUGUCUGAAGUUUAUCAAGCUUUUUUUAAAAAAAUUCCAAAUUUUUUAAUUAACUGAACAAAAAAUUUGGAAUUCGUCAAGACAUAAUAAUUCGCGAGUACAUUGAUAAAUAGUCGAGAGAUUGAAAUCUGAAGUCAAAAGGAUCACUUUUCUUAUAUAAAAGUGGAUAAACAAACACUUAUUUUUAUACGACUAAAAUCGAUACAAUUCGUUAGAGUUGAGCAACUUGUUAAAACUAAUAAUGGUAAUUAUUUUGAAAAAUUCGGCAUUGAGAGGAUUUCAGUUAAUAGAACGAGAACAUAAUUACUUUUAUUAGGAUUUAUUUACGAAAUUAUAAUAUGAAAUCAUGAAAUUAAAAAAGUAAAAUAAUAUAUAUAUAUAUAAAAAAAGUACUAAUAAAAGUAAUUAUGUUAUCGUUCUAAUAACUGAAAUAAAGAUAAUAUGAAAUUUAUAGAGAAUUUUUGAAAUUUUUUCCAUAUUGUUUAAUUAACUGGACAAAAAUGCUGAAUAUGUUAAAAAAAAAAAAAUUCGCACACACAUAAAUAGUCGUGAGUUAUGGAAUCUGAAGUUAGAAGGUUCACUAUCUUAUAUGGAAUGGAUAUUUACUUUUUAUAUGAGAAAACGGAUAAUUCGUUAGAGUUGAGCGACAUGUCGGAUUAUUGACAACUGUCAAACGACCGUUUAUUCGUUUUAAUUCUUUUUGGUAAGCCGGCGUUGAGAAACAUGCCGUUAUUAAUUUUAAAAAAUCGUUGGGUUUAUGAAUGACUUAACAUUAUUGCUAUUUUGAAAGACCGUUGGAUUUUGAAAAACCAUUUAUACAUCCGUUAUUAAUUUUGACAAGUCGCUCAAAGUUUAUCCAUUUUGAUAUAAAAAUAAUAAGGAAAAUCAAUUAUUUAUCAAAAAUCAAAAAAAGUGUACUAAUAAAAGUAAUUAUGUUCUCGUUUCAAUAAUUGAAAUAACAAUUGUCUGAAGUUUAUCAAGCUUUUUUUUUUUAAAUUCCAUAUUUUUUAAUUAACUGAACAAAAAAUUUGGAAUACGUCAAGACAUAAUAAUUCGCGAUUACAUUGAUAAAUAGUCGGGAGCUUGAAAUCUGAAGUCAAAAGGAUCACUUUUCUUAUAUAAAAAUGGAUAAACAAACACUUAUUUUUAUUCGACUAAAAUCGAUAUAAUUCGUUAGAGUUGAGCAACUUAUUAAAACUAAUAAUGGUAAUUAUUUUUAAAAAAUUGGCAUUGAGAGGAUUUCAGUUAAUAGAAAGAGAACAUAAUUACUUUUAUUAGGGUUUAUUUACGAAAUUAUAAUAUGAAAUCAUUAUAAAUUAAAAAAUAAAAAAUAAAAUAAAAAAUAAAAAAUAAAAAAUAAAAUAAAAUAUAUGUAUAUAUAUAUAUAUAUAUAUAUAUUAUUAAGUAAUAAAAAGCUUAGGUUUGAUAUAAAAAUAACAAGAAAAAUAAAUUAUCAAAAAACCAAGUACUAAUAAAAUAAUUAUGUUAUCGUUCUAAUAACUGAAAUAAAGAUAAUAUGAAAUUUAUAGAGAAUUUUUGAAUUUUUUUCCAUAUUGUUUAAUUAACUGGACAAAAAUCCUGAAUAGGUUAAAAAAUAAUAAUUUUGCACGCACAUAAAUAGUUGUGAGUUAUGGAAUCUGAAGUUAGAAGGUUCACUAUCUUAUCUGAAAUGGAUAUUUACUUUUUAUACGACAAAAAGGAUAAUUCGUUAGAGUUGACCAACAUGUCGGAUUAUUAACAGCUGUCAAACGACCGUUUAUUCGUUUUAAUUCUUUUUGGUAAGCCGGCGUUGAGAAACUUGCCGUUAUUAAUUUUAAAAAAUUGUUAGGUUUAUGAAUGACUUAACAUUAUUGCUAUUUUGAAAAAUCGUUGGAUUUUAAAAAACCAUUUAUACAUCCGUUAUUAAUUUUGACAAUUCGCUCAAAGUUUAUCCAUUUUGAUAUAAAAAUAUUAAGGAAAAUCAAUUAUUUAUCAAAAACCAAAAAAGUGUACUAAUAAAAGUAAUUAUGUUCUCGUUUCAAUAAUUGAAAUAACAGUUGUCUAAAGUUUAUCAAGGUUUUUAAAAAAAAAAUCCAUAUUUUUAAAUUAACUGAACAAAUUUUUUUGAAUAUAUCAAGACAUAAUAAUUCGCGAGUACAUUAAUAAAUAGUCGAGAGCUUGAAAUCUGAAGUCAAAAGGACUACUUUUUCUUAUAUAAAAAUAGAUAAACAAACGCUUAUUUUUUAUACGACUAAAACCGAUAUAAUUCGUUAGAGUUGAGCAACUAGUUAAAACUAAUAACAGUAUUUAUUUUUAAAAAUCCGGCAUUGAAAGGAUUUCAAUUAUUAGUACGAGAACAUAAUUUCUUUUAUUAGGAUUUAUUUAUGAAAUUAUAAUAUGAAAUAAUGAUAAAAAAUAUAUAUAUUAUUAAGUAAUAAAAAGCAUAGGUGUGAUAUAAAAAUAACAAGAAAAAUAAAUUAUCAGGAAAAAAAAAGUUUACUAAAAAAAGUAAUUAUGUUCUCGUUCUAAUAACUGAAAUAACGAUAAUAUGAAAUUUAUAGAGUUUUUUAAAAAGAGUUUCCAUUUUAUUUAAAUAACUGGACAAAAAUGUCGAAUAUGUUAAAAAAAAAAAAUCGCACGCACAUAAAUAGUCGUGAGUUAUGGAAUCUGAAGUUAGAAGGUUCACUAUCUUAUCUGAAAUGGAUAAAUGGAUAUUUACUUUUUAUACGACAAAACGGAUAAUUCGUUAGAGUUGAGCGACAUGUCAGAUUAUUAACAGCUGUCAAACUACCGUUUAUUCGUUUUGAUUAUUUUUGGUAAGCCGGCGUUGAGAGACUUGCCGUUAUUAAUUUUAAAAAAUCGUUGGGUUUCUAAACGACUUAACAUUAUUGUUAUUUUGAAAAUUCGUUGGAUUUUAAAAAACCGUUUAUACAUCUGCUAUUGAUUUUGACAUGUCGUUCAAAGUUUAUACAUUUUGAUAUAAAAAAAUAAUAGGGAAAAUCAAUUAUUUAUCAAAAACUAAAAAAGUGUACUAAUAAAAGUAAUUAUGUUCUCGUUUCAAUAAUUGAAAUAACAAUUGUCUGAAGUUUAUCAAGCUAUUUUUUAAAAAAAUUCUAUAUGUUUUAACUAACUGAACAAUUUUUUUUGAAUACGUCAUGAAAUAUUAAUUCGCGAGUACAUUGAUAAAUAGUCGGGAGCUUGAAAUCUGAAGUCAAAAGGAUCACUUUUUCUUAUAUAAUAAAAAUGGAUAAACAAACACUUAAUUUUUAUACGACUAAAACCGAUAUAAUUCGUUAGAGUUGAGAAACUAGUUAAAACUAAUAACGGUAAUUAUUUUUAAAAAUUCGCCAUUGAGAGGAUUUCACUUAUUAGAACGAGAACAUAAUUACUUUUAUUAGGGUUUAUUUAAAAUAUUAUAUUAUGAAAUCAUGAUAUAGUAUAUAUAUAUAUAUUAUUAAGUAAUAAAAAGCAUAGGUGUGAUAUAAAAAUAACAAGAAAAAUAAAUUAUAAAAAAAAAUGCACUAAUAAAAGUAAUUAUGUUCUUGUUCUAAUAACAUGAAAUUUAUAGAGUUUUUUUUAAAAAAAUUCCAUAUUAUUUAAUUAACUGGACAAAAAUGCCGAAUACUUUAAAAAAAAAAAAAUUCACACGCACAUAAAUAUGAGUGAGUUAUGAAAUCUGAAGUUAGAAGGUUCACUAUCUUAUCUGAAAUUGAUAAAUGGAUAUUUAAUUUUUAUACGACAAAACGGAUAAUUCGUUGGAGUUGAACGACCUGUCGGAUUAUUAACAGCUGUCAAACUACCGUUUAUUCGUUUUGAUUUUUUUUGGUAAGUCGGCGUUGAGAGACUUGCCAUUAUUAAUUUUAAAAAAUCAUUGGGUCUCUGAACGACUUAACAUUAUUGCUAUUUUGAAAAUCCUUUGGAUUUUAAAUAAACCGUUUAUACAUCCGUUAUUAAUUUUGACAUGUCGCUCAAAGUUUAUUCAUUUUGAAAUAAAAAAUAAUAGGGAAAAUCAAUUAUUUAUCAAAACCAAAAAAGUGUACUAAUAAAAGUAAUUAUGUUCUCGUUUUAAUAAUUGAAAUAACAAUUGUCUGAAGUUUAUCAAGCUUUUUUUUUUUUAAAUCUAUAUUUUUUAAUUAACUGAACAUUUUUUUUUGAAUACGUCAAGAAAUAAUAAUUCGCGAGUACAUUGAUAAAUAGUCGGGAGCUUGAAAUCUGAAGUCAAAAGGAUCACCUUUUCUUAUAUAAUAAAAAUGGAUAAACAAACACUUAAUUUUUAUACGACUAAAACCGAUAUAAUUCGUUAGAGUUGAGUAACUUGUUAAAACUAAUAACGGUAAUUAUUUUUAAGAAUUCGGCAUUGAGAGGAUUUCAGUUAUUAGAACGAGAACAUAAUUACUUUUAUUAGGGUUUAUUUACGAAAUUAUCAUAUGAAAUCAUGAUAUAAAAUAUAUAUAUUAAUUAUUAAGUAAUAAAAAGCAUAGGUUUGAUAUAAAAAUAACAAGAAAAAUAAAUUAUCAAAACAAAAAAAGAAAAGUGUACUAAUAAAAGUAAUUAUGUUCUCAUUCUAAUAACUGAAAUAACGAUAAUCUGAAAUUUAUAGAGUUUUUUUGAAAUCUUUUCCAUAUUGUUUAAUUAACUGAACAAAAAUGUCGAAUACGUUAAAAAAUAAUAUUUUCGCACGCACAUAAAUAGUCGUGAGUUAUGGAAUAUGAAGUCAGAAGGUUCACUAUCUUAUAUGAAAUGGAUACUUAUUUUUUAUACGACAAAACGGAUAAUUCAUUAGAGUUGAGUGACCUAUCGGAUUAUUAACAGUUGUCAAAUGACUGUUUAUUCGUUUUAUUUUUUUUGGUAAAUCGGCGUUGAGAGACUUACCGUUAUUAAUUUUAAAAAAUCGUUGGGUUUAUGAGCGACUUAACAUUAUUGCUAUUUUGAAAAACCGUUUAUACAUCUAUUAUUAAUUUUGACAAGUCGAUCAAAGUUUUUCCAUUCUGAUAUAAAAAUAAUAAGGAAAAUCAAUUGUUUAUCAAAAAUAAAAAAAGAAAGUGUACUAAUAAAAGUAAAUAAGUUCUCGUUUCACUAAUGAAAAUAACAAUUGUCUAAAGUUCAUCAAGCUUUUAUUUAAAAAAAUUCCAUAUUUUUUAAUUAACUGAACAAUUUUUUUUGAAUACGUCAAGAAAUAAUAAUAUCGCGAAUACAUUGAUAAAUAAUCGGGAGCUUGAAAUCUGAAGUCAAAAGGAUCACUUUUUCUUAUAUAAAAAUGGAUAAACAAAUACUUAUUUUUUAUAUGACUAAAAUCGAUAUAAUUCGUUAGAGUUGAGCGACUUGUUAAAACUAAUAAUGGUAACUAUUUUAAAAAAUUCGGCAUUGAGAAGAUUACCGUUAUUAUUUGUAAAAAUUCGUUGGGUUUUGAGUGUCUUAACAUUAUUGUCCAACAACUUACCAUUAUUAUUUUUGGUAGAUCGUUGGAUUUUGAACGACCGUUAAACUCGUCAGGUUUUGAGCGCCUUAACAUUAUUGUCCAACGACUUACCAUUAUUAUUUUUGAUAGAUCAUUGAAUUUUGAACGACCGUUAAACUCGUUGGGUUUUGAGCGCCUUAACAUUAUUGUCGACGUAUCAUUAUUAUUUUUGGUAAAUCGUUAGAUUUUGAACGAUCGUUUAUAUCGUUGUUAUUAAUUUUUACAAGUCACUCAAAGUUUAGUGAUUUAUCCAUUUUAACUAUAUAAAGUAAAUGUCAGUUUAUCCAUUUUAGAUAAGAAAAGUGAUCCUAUUGUUUUCAAACUUCAUGCUCACGAUUAUUUAUGUGUUCGCGAAAUUAUUAUUCUUUACAUAUCGAUAUUUUUGGGGUGUUGAGAGACUUAAACAUUAUUGCCCAAUGACUUACCAUUAUUACUUUUAGUAAUUCGUUGGAUUUUGAACACUUAAUAUUUUUUUAAAAAAUUAAAUCGUUGUAAGUUAAACUACUCAAUGUAUAUUAAAUUCAUCCAUUUUUAAUGUUCAUUUAACUUCAAAAAAGUAAUUUUCUCCCAUCAUUUGUUGAUGUUAGUUAAGUUUCAAAUCAUCAAAUUCCUCGAAUUUUCAUUCGCUAAUCAAUUAUUUACGUUGUGAUAUUGAGUUUUUUCAUUAUUUAAUGAACUUCUAGAAUCAUAAUACUUUAAUGAUUUUGCACAUUUCGCAUUUUAAAUUGUAUAUAGUUAAAUACAAGUAGUACUGUUAUAUACUUCUACUGUCCACUUUUAAUUGUCAUGUUGUGCUUUUCGAAAGUCAAUUUGACUAAUUUUCAAAGCUAAAUUAGAUUACAUUAAUUUGAUAUUUUAAACAAAAAAUUCAGAUAUUCAAAAACUAUACAAAAAGUACUAUAAAUUCUAAUUUUUUGCAUAUCAAUAUGAUGAAAAAAUGCAUCGUAAAAUGUUAGUCAAAAUUAUUAUCGUUUGACUCUAAACAAAAUUAUGACAAUUAAAAGUGGACGGAGGUAGUAUUUAAUUAGAUACAUCAUUUUUGUUUUUCUUAAAAAGAAAUUAUAAUAUUAAACAGGACAUUUCUUUGCACGGAAAAUAGAAUAUUAAAAUUUAUGAUUUAAAACAUUUCAAAAUACUUGUGUGAUUGUAAAAACAUUAAGAGUAUAAUAAAAAUAAUAAAACAACAACUAAGUUAUUUUUCAGAAUUAGAAAAUGACACUUUUUAAAAUAAAAACUAUAAAAAAAAUUUAAAGUACAUAAAUAAAAACUAAAGAAAUAUCAUAUCAAAAGAGACAAAGAAGAAUUAAGAAUGUUGUGAGUUCCAAAGAUCAGCGGUUACAAAAGUGUGACAAGAGUACAAAUUGAUCAUGACAUAUUAGUAUUUAACUUAAUUUAAAAUACUAAAUGUGUAAAUUCACUUGAUUACAAGAGUAUCAAAAGAGACAAAAAAGAAGUAAGAAUAUUGCGAGUUUCAAAGAUCAGCGGUUACAAAAGUGUCACAAGAGUAUAAAUUGAUCAUGAUGCAUUAAUAUUUAACUUAAGCUAAAAUACUAAAUGUGUAAAAUCACUUGAUUACAAAAGUGUCACGAGAGUUCAAAUUCAUCACGAUACGUUAGUAUUUUACAUAAUUUAAAAUAUUAAAUGUAUAUAAUCACUUAACUCACACAAUUUGUUUUUUAAAAAAUAAUAAAUUGUUCAAAGCUCGUCGACUUACUAAAAUAAUAUAAAAUUAAUUAAAAUUAAUAAUUAUUUGCAUAACGGUAUUAAUUUGAACAAGUUUCUCAAGGUCUAGCGAUUUGUCCAUUUUAAUCAUAUGAAAAAAAUAAGUAUUUAUUGAUGUAUUAGAUUUUAAAAUGACCCUUUUGACAUAAUUUUCUGAGAGCAUGAACCUAAAAUAAAGUUAAAGUUAAAAUAAAAAUACAAAUAUAAAAAGUUAAAGUACUGUAAACACAAAAUAAAUGAAAAUUAAGCACUAAUAUAUAGUAUCAAUAAAAGAGUAUCAAUAGGUCUAAAAUACUACAUAAUCUUCAAAAUACAAAUCAAUAGGUCUAGCGAUUUGUCCAUUUUGAUCAUAUAAAAAAAUAAGCAUUUAUUGAUGCAUUUUAGAUUUUAAAAUGACCCUUUUGACAUAAUUUUCCGAAAGCAUGAACCUAAAAUAAAAAUACAAAUACAAAAAGUUAAAGUACCAUAAACACAAAAUAAAUGAAAAUUAAGCACUAAUAUAUAAUAUCAAAAAAAGAGUACCAAUAGGUCUAAAAUUCUACAUAAUCUUCAAAAGACAAAUCAAUAGUUCUAGCGAUUUGUCCAUUUUGAUCAUAUGAAAAAUAAGUAUUUGUUGAUGCAUUUUAAAUUUUAAAAUGAACCUUUUGACAUAAUUUUCUGUGAGCAUGAGCCUAAAAUAAAAAUAAAAAUAAAAACAUAAAUACAAAAAGUUAAAGUACCAUAAACACAAAAUAAAUGAAACUUCAGCACUAAUAUAUAGUAUCAAUAGGUAUAGAAUACUACAUAAUCUUCAAAAUACAAAUCAAUAGGUCUAGCGAUUUAUCCAUUUUGAUCAUAUGAAAAAAUAAGUAUAUAUUGAUGCAUUUUAGAUUUUAAUAUGACUCUUUUGACAUAAUUUUCUGAGAGCAUGAACCUAAACUAAAAAUAAAAAUACAAAAAGUUAAAAUACCAUAAACAAAAUAAAUAAAAAUUAAGCACUAAUAUAUAGUAUCAAUAAAAAAGUAUAAUAGAUCUAAAAUACUACAAAAUCUUCAAAUGUUAUCAUCUCGAUGGAUUUUAAUUUCAAUACUACAUAUGCAUAUAAAAUUACAUAUAAAUCAAACAUAUUGAAUACAUAUGAUAUAUGAAAAAUCAAUCAAUUUUAAAAAAGAAAAAUCAACACAUCUCAAAAUCAUAAAAAGAAGGUUUACGCCUUUUCUUAAAUAUACUUGCUAUCAAUGUAAAUAUUCAACAAAAUAAAUGGAAAAAAAAAAAGAAUAAGUAAAUAAAUAAAAAACUAUCAAUUCUUAUUGUUUUAGGAAAGUGUUUCGCUUCAAGUAAGAAUAAAAAAUACGUAUUUGCUUGACGUUAUUCUUAUUAAAAAUAAAUUUAUUGUUUUGCACAAGUUAUAAAUGCAUAUUUUUAUAUUAAAAUUAGGCUUAAGUCAUCGACCGCCUCUUAAAGUUGUUCGCAUAAUUCACUUAGACACCUCAACUAAGACUUGUACCUAUUGAACAUCUAAAUUGUUCAAAACAUGUACCUAUUAAACACAAAACGCUGAUAUGGCAAAAAAUGUGUUUUGCACUUCCCUGAAGCGCGUGAAAAGAUUCAAAAUAGUGUCUUUUUGAAUUUUUCUUUACAUUUUUUCUUCUUUUAUUGACACUUGGCAUUAUAAUUAACUUAAAAAUAUUUUUCUUCUUUCAUUUACACUUUUUUCAAAAAAGAAAAGGACCCCACUCCCUACCUAUCAUCUUCUUCAUACUUUAGUUUGCAAAACUUUCUUCAUUUUAGCUCUAACAUUGUUUUUCUUUCUUUUUUUUAUAAAAAAAGGAAUAUUAUUUCUUCCAAAUAUGAAGAUAAAUGAAAAUCAACUAUGAAGAUUCAGAUUUGAAAGAAAGUAAGACUUUCUUUCGUAUGAUUUAUUUCAACUCUCAUAAAAAUAAGGAACAAAUAUGAAGAAGAAGAAAGAAGAUAAAUGAUUUUUACGUAUAAAAAAAGUUAGCCAAUAUUUGUUUAUCACAAUUUUCGAACAAAGAUUUUUACUCAAAUUCAUAUAUAAACCCAUUAAAUUUAUCAAAAAUGAUAUUCAAAAAUUUGAAAGAAUUAUUUUUUGAGAUAUCAAUUUCAUUUUGUCAUCGAUGUAGAAAUGAAUAACCGCCGGUAAAAUUUUCUUUCUUCUUCACUCUUAGUAUGAAAAUGUAUAUAUAUAUAUAUUUUUAAAGUUAAUCUUCAAGUUAUUUGAAAAGAAUUAUGUUUUGUGAUUUGAGAAAGAAUGUGUUUUGGGAAGAAGACGAAGAUGAAAGGGGGUUGGGUAGGGGUGGGGUUGGGUAGAAUAGGUUGACAUUUUCAUUUUUUUCUUUUUCUUUUUCUUUUUAAAAAAAUUAGAUAUAAAAAGUGUUUGAAAUAAUUUUAAACAAAUUUUUUUUUUAUAUAAUUUUCAAGGCCCAGUGCCACAUGUUAUUUUUUAAUUAGCCGUUUUGUCACGUCACCGCAAGUGUAUCACACACUCUUCAUAUAUUUUGCUGAAUUAUCAAAAAAUGCCUAAUAGGAAUAAUUUUUGAAUUGGUAAAAGUGUUCAAUAGGUACUAGUCUUAAUUGAUGUGUCUAAAUGAAUUAUGCGGAUAAUUUUAAGAGACUACUGAUGACUUAAUCCUUAAAAUUAUUAUAAACUAUGUCGAACAAAUAUUUACUAUUUAAAGCAUGUAUAACUUUAACAUAAAUAAUCAAGAAAAACACUUCAUAGCAUUGUUAAUUGUAUAACAUAGAACAAUAAUUCUUCAAAGUUUAAGGGGGGAAAAUGAACAUGUCAAAAAAUUAAUGGUAUUCACUGUGAUGUCAAAAUCUUCUUUGUAAUAAUUUCCUCAAUUAAACUAUCUAAUAUUACUUCAAAAAAAAUUCAAAAAUUUGAAUAAAAGAACUAAAAUAAAGAAAUAAAUUUCAGAAAGUACUAAAAUUUAUCUUAAUUUGUCUUCCUAAUUUUACUACUUGACACGUUUUCAUAAAUUAAACCUUGAAUGUCCUCAGGUCAGAAAGGGGAAAAACCUAGGGCUUUCUCUUUCUCUGACGGCUCCUUUCUAGGCAGUUGUUGCGCAACUCUCUCAUGGCUGCUACGACCAUUGGACGACCUCCUCUUGAGUCUGUCCAUCCCGCCCCACCACCCCAAACCACCACAUAUGCCACCCUUAUCGAUUACAAUACUCUUAACCCCAAGCAAUCUACCCUAAAUAACUAAAAAAACAAUCAUAAAAAUAUGUCAAAAUUGUUCACGGAGAACCUACUAUCACGUUUUUAACAGAGGAAAGAUAAAAUUUUAUGAUCGAAGAAGGAUUGCAUCAAGCAUUGGUUUAAAUUAUCUUAUGGUAUGAUAGAUUUGAAGGUAUUAAGGUUGAUUUUGCCGAAACAUCUUGGUACCAAGGGCAACUAUUUAAUUGACUUACUUGCUCCAAGACAAAUUUUGUUGAGGUUUGAUCAAUAUGAAGAUUUUGUACUAGCUUUAUCUCGCUCAGGAUUAUCUUCUCUACAAUGGAGAAGAUCACCAAUAUAUGGUACUUCCAUGGUCCAUUGGAUAUAAUCCUAAGGAGGAAACGACUUUAGCUGUGAUUUGAAUUUCUUUAUCGAACUUAUCUCCUGAUUCGUUUGCAAAGAAGUAUUUGUUGUCUCUAGCAUCGGUAGUUGGGAAAUCAAUAGUCAUAGAUAAAACUACUCAAAUAAAGUCAAGACCAAGCAUGACGAGGGUCAAGGUUAUACAUGAUCUAUUUGAAAAACUUUCAAAUCGUAUAAGGUUGCAUUUUGUGGAUGAAAAACCUGGUAAGUUGAUCGAGGUUUUUCAGGAGGUUGUAUAUGAUAACUACCUCUGUAUUGCAAUUAUUGUAAGCAUCAAAGUCGUGAUGAAGUUAGUUAUUGUUUGAUCUCGAAAAGAAAUCAAAAUAACAAACAAAUUGAUGAUACCAUUGAGUCUACUUUAAAAGGUACUAGCAAUAGUGAAAAAUAUCAAGGUGAUGUGAGGGAAAUACUAAAUGAAAAAAGGGUGGUGGAUGUCGAUUAAAGUAAAGCUACUACUUUAGAUCGACAUUUGAUUGUUGCCACUUCUAAGCAAAAUCGUGGAGACUCAAUGAAUAUUGAUACAGGGGAAACACCAAGAGUUGGGGUUGAUGCGCCGCCAGUUGAUUCAAGACCAAACUAAUAGAUACAACUGAUGUUGAAGAUACUGAAAAAUUCUAGGCAACAUUUUUUGCAACUUGAAAACGAGAAUGCAACUAAAAACUGGACACUAGUUGAACACAAAAAAUCAACUAGUAGUCGGACCCUUUCCACAACUAGUUAAAAUAAUUCUCCAUGUAGUGGAAAGAGUGCGACUAGAAAUUUUUAGGACAAUGAGAAGAGACAAGAGAUUAGUAAUGCCUCAAGAAACCUAUUAUGUUUGAAUAACUUUGAUGCUUUAUUGAAUGCUACUGGAAAAGAUGGUAAUAUUAUGGCUCCAACAUUAUAUCUUUCUAAUCCUGAGGUAGUUAAGAUUAUUGAAGAAAAUCGGGAUGUCAUGCUACUCAAAUUCAAUCCAGCGGUUAAGUCACUCAUGGUCACAUUGAACACCUCAACUCAUAAGAUCUCUUCUAUCUUUGGAAUUGCUUGGUGAAUCUGCACAACUAGUAAGAUCAACAAAGAAUGACAAUGAUUUGGUCUAAGAAGAGCAGGUUUCACCACCUGCUAUAAAUUGAAAAUUAAGCCAGAAGCACGUAUUUGUGCCUAAAUGUCUGAUUGAAAAGAAGAAUGAUUCUAAGGCCUUAACGUCGAAUACAAUUGAUUUGGGCGAGGAUUUUCUUGAUGAAGAUGGGGAAGAGCUGGACAUAUGAUUUGGUAGAGUGGCUAGGGAAGAGGAUAUAUCACCUAGGUAACAAAGAAGUGGAAGCAAUAAAAGCAAAAAAGAAGACACAUGAAAGGCAACAUAGUUGGGACAGUAAAGCGACUGAGGAGUUUGUUUCAAGGCCCCUACCGAUGCGACAGGCAAAGCAGAACUAUAUGACAGUAUCAAUAGGUUCAACAAGAUCUAAUAAAUCCAUAAGAAGGUAUGAAUUAUCAAGUGUUGUUGGAUAUGUUUGAAGAAGAAGACAAGAGAAACAUGCUUUCGUAACAGAAAGUUUGAGGCUGAUAGCUCAACCUUCUUCUUGAUUGUCAUAUUUUUACAUUAUUUAAGCAUCCUCAUUUGUAAUAUCAUCAUGGAGUGUAUUACAAACUCUGCGGUGAUCAGAAAAUACUUAGUUCUUUCUAACUCUUAUUUCGUUCAUACUUGUUAGUUAGUAGAAGUUAUGUACCUCAUUAGGAUUGGUACGGUAAGGCGUAGCUCCACUGCUUGUACUUAUCCCUAUUGAUAUUUUUUUAUUUUUAAUAAAAGACCGCUAGAUACUCUGUCUAAUGGUAAAUUUGAAGGAAAAAAUUAAUAAUUAAACCUUAGUCAUAUUUAAUGUCGUUUUGUUGGACUCAGAUUAGAUGUCUGCACAAACAUCAUAUCUUAAUUAAGAAAGGAAUAGAAGAGGCCUAAUUAAGAAAUGACAAUUUAUUUUUGAGGAAUUAAAAAGGGGUUACUUUUUAACCCCCCCCCCCCCCAAUUAAACAUGAAUAAUGAAUAUCAUCCUUUUUAAGAGGAGAAAUAAAAAAAAUGAUUAGAAAAAUAAAGACAAUACUAAUUUUAGAAAGAUAUCACAUCAUCGGGCUCAUUCAAUUAUGUGAGAAUUUAAAGGGAUAAUUGUACAGAAUGACAAACUUAUAAUCUAAAAUAAAUGGAGUAGUUACUGUUUGAUUUAAUUUCGCCUCGUAGCAAACGUUUGCAAGUCGCCUCUCUCCCUCCAAAUUCUCGCUCGCCACUCUCCCUUUCUCGCUCGCUCCCUCUGUGCUCGCCUCUCUCGCUUUAUACAACAGAAUUGUAUAAAUUGAGUUUUUAUUUGUAUAAAGCAAGAGAAAAUUAUAUAUACACAUGCAAAUACAUAUAUAUUCGUCCUAUACACUUAUAAUUAUACAAUAAAAAUAUUCCCUUGCCAACGAGAGGCUAACAACAAUUUAUACAAAUGGCCUGCCAGCGAAAUUAUACAAUUCUGAAGAGGAGCCAACGAAUUAUACAAUUGCUUCUUUUUGUAUAUAUGUAUAGCGAAUUAUACAUAUAUAUGUUUGCUAUGGAGCGCAAUUAUGCAAACUUUGCUAUAGCAUACAAAUAUGAUUUUUUUGUUUGCUAUAUGUGAAAGUUGCUCUUUAUAUUACCAUAGAAUAGAGCAUAAGAUAAGAAUACAUUAUUAAUAAUGUGGGAAUUAAACAUUUAAAGAAAAAACAUGCUCUUUUAGUAUAAUUAAUUUAAGUAAUAUAUUUUCUUUAUUAAUGUUCACCCCCAUAACAUAAAUAAUCAUAUAUUGAAUAUUAGAGGAACCCUUAUUUACAACCAUCUCAAAUUGAAUUUUGAAGUUCGAUUCCAUAAGAGUUUACUGAAAUAUUAUAAUUUCUCUACAUUACUAUUGUUUGGAAAAUUUAAUAUUUUGUUGUAGCACACCUAUUCAUGGGCCUUACACGACACAAAUUCUUUAACAAAUGAACAAUAAAAAUUUCAAUUCAUCUCAUACAAAUAUGAAGAUCGAGAGUAACUCUAAUAACGAGCCAUAGUACUGAAUAGAAAUUGAGAACAUGAAGAUACAUAUCUUUGAAUACACACUCAGUAACAAGAAGGCAAAACAAUUAUAUUUCUACUAAAGAGAAAACUCAUGCAUCUUUACUAUACAAGGAACUGUUUGUUGUUGGAAACUCUGGAUAUACAUUUUCAUUCUACUACAUCAAAAUCUUCUUUCUUUUUUGUACAUCAACAAGUUGAAGACUGUUGGUUGUAUAUGCUAACUUGCUAUGUUAUGUCAAGCUAUAUGCUGUGCUUAAAAAGCCUUUAACCUACUAUUUGCAAAGAAGGGCAAGCUAAUUGGGAAGCCAUAGUAUCCUUCUUGGUCACGAACGUCAUCCAUACUUUCAAUUACAAGGUUCUUCAGGCUCCAGAAAGUUGUGAUAUUCCAACUGAGUCAUCUCUUUGCCGGAUGCUGGGUCAAACUUGCAUCUGAAAAAGCUGCACGACACAAAUUGACAUGUAGGAAUUAUAGUAGGGAUCUUCGCACCUAAAUCCAUUAUUCAGAUAACUUGAGUUUUGGCAAGAAGUUUCUAGUCCACUCAAGACAGAAUGAUCGUUGUCAAUCUGGAAAAUCUGAUUUUCAAUGUCAAAAUAGAUGGAAGAACCAUCUCCAUUCCUAUCAUUAACUAAAAAAGUGUAAACAGAAAAGAAAUCCUGACUGUCUCUAACACCGAAUAAAUAAUUGUGUAUAUGCCAUUACUGAUGAAUCGUCACGACAGAUCCCAGAUGAAGUUAAAACUCAAAUCUUAAUUCAUGUAGAAAAUUACAUAGGAAGGACCAAAUCAUAAUGGGAGCAGACUAAGAUGUCCCAGAAAGACCGUGUAGUCCCUGAGAUAAAUCAGUUUGGACCCUUCAAUUUUUCAGUUGUGGUGACACUAUUGAUAACCAUCUUUUCUAUUGUUUUAAAUAUGUUGAUCUUUGUAACUCUAUGUAAGUAGAUUGAAAUUUAUCUUUCUUCACUCGACAAAAUUUAAAUAGAAGAGAGAGAAAACAUCAUAACAGUCUUUCCUCUCUUUCGCUUAAAGAGAGGUCCCUGAGGAGUUCAUGACCAGAUCACAUCAGUUAUUUCUUCUGUAUGAACUACUUCUAUACAAGCAUUGCUCUUCAAUAUCUUUUACCAAGAUAAGUGUUGGUAUCUAAACAUGUUUAAUUAGUUCUAUGAAAGCUAAAACAAUUAGGAUUUCGAUGAAAUUUAAAUCUAAGAACGGAAAUCAAAUUCUUAGGUGGCAAAUAUUGCAAAGAUGAUUAUGUUACAAGAAAGACAAAAAACCUUGCAAGAGUUAACUAACCUUCCGUCCCAGCCGAGAAUUGUAAGUGUAUUAUUUUCGUUGCCAAAUGUAACAAUGUAUUGAGAAACACCAGGCAGUCGGAAUUGAGCCACAGACCAUUCUGAGCUAAAAUACUUGGGAAGAGCUCCUGCAAGAAUUAAGCACGAAUUCAAGAACCACCUCCGUACUCUCACGUUUAAUAGUUCAUCACUUAAUCAUAGAAAGAAGUAGCAAUAGUGUGUGUGCCAGGUGAUAACCUAGUCUACAUGAAGAAAGUUCCCUUGAAAUACAUAACAUUAAUUAUGAAAAGUCCCCAAGGUAUAUUCUUCAGGAAAAAUCACAGAGGUGGAAACAGAAAUUAUAGACUGUAAUUUGUGCAUAUCACAAUGUCCAAAGAAAGCAUUUUCCAUGACAAAAAAGUUCAGCUGAAUCAAAUAAGGUAAAUUUAUUAUGGCCAGUUGACAAGAAAUCUCCAUCAACCAUGACAAAAAAGUUCAGCUGAAUCAAAUAAGGUAAAUUUAUUAUGGCCAGUUGACAAGAAAUCUCCAUCAACCAUGACAAAAAAGUUCAGCUGAAUCAAAUAAGGUAAAUUUAUUAUGGCCAGUUGACAAGAAAUCUCCAUCAACCAUGACAAAAAAGUUCAGCUGAAUCAAAUAAGGUAAAUUUAUUAUGGCCAGUUGACAAGAAAUCUCCAUCAACCAUGACAAGUUAAUUAGCCAACCGCUUGUGGCUCAUCACUACAAACAAGAAAGCAAGUAAUACUAUACUAUUAUACUCCAUAGUGGCAAUAGAGGAUGCUGUAUAAAAAACAGAAUUCACUAAUCACAUAUCUUAUGGAGUCAACAUAUAACACUGAUUAUAAACCACACAAUGUUGAAAGACCACAGUAAAAAUGACUCACUCCGAGAGCUUUUUAACUAUGUGAAACAAUUUGUCAAAUAAAUCCUUCUAGAAUAUUCUGUGGCUUGAUAAAUAGACAAAGAAGAAAAUGUAGCAUGUAGAGGCAAGGUGUCCUUUCAAGAAACAAAAGUUUGCUCUCUAUGGUAGUAAUUGCAAUUCCCGCAUGGAGUGCAUGUAGUAGAAUAUUUUCACUAUUUAAAUAGAUGCCUCAAAAUCAGCAAAUGAACGUCAUGUUCUUAGGGACAGAGUUAAAAAUUAGAUGCAAGAUUUUUUAUUGCUUAACAAGGAUUUGUAAAUAUACAUAUUAAAAUACCAAAAUAAUUUUAUUGAGCAUGAAUGGAUACCCAUCUAUGUUUUUAAAAUAUAAACUAGAAACCUUAAAUCUGCUUUAGAGAUACCUCUGAUGAAGGAGAAUGAACUAGAGGCUGCCACAGGAACACGGGAGUUGGAAGAACAAUUUGACUUGUCAGUACUCCUGUUCCCUAGAUUGACCUUAAGGCUGAAAACAUGAACAGUGCCUUUGUCGCUGGAGACAGCUAGCCACUGAGCAGUUGGAGAGAAUGACAAACUAUAUAUUUCUGCUCUAUCCAAACCCCUUCUUACCUGAAUCAUACAUGAUUUAGCAAAAGACAAGCAUGUAAUGCUGUUAGUUGGUCGAAAGGAAAGUUAAAAGACUCAAUUAGUUGGAAGUUCAAAGAAAUCGUGUAGGCAGGCCAAGAAGAAAUAGAAAGCCAUAAAAAAGUUCAAUCUUACAAUCUUUAUCAAUUAUGUCCAGCAUCAUACUAUGGAUGAGGAUGACAAAAUGUAGAAAUUACUCUUGUAAUUAUGGGAGGAAAACUCAUUCAAGAUAGAAAAAGAGGAACUAGCAAACGAUGUCUAUUAAAUUUGUUUUGGGUUCAAGGGAGUAAAAGGGUGAAAAACCAUACAGAUUUCUAGAUUUCAAAUACUUUAUUUUAUUUUUGAUAAAAUGUAGUGGUCGACCCAGAUAGGGGGUUGAUAAUAUCAGAAUAUUGCAAGCUAAAGGUAAAACCUAAUGAGGAAAUUAUAGAGUACGUAAAACUGCUCCAGUAAGUUGGCAAAGAACUAUAAAAUAUAAUUUGGAUGAUCAGCAAGUCAGCAUCAUGCUGAAUGAUCAUAAGAACAGAAAUGAAGACUGACAACAGGUAAAGGGAAUUUAAAGCAACUGGAGAUCACUACUAAAGCAGCAACAUAAAAAAUUCUAGUCCAUAUAACAAUGUCAAUAUCCCCUCCAUCAUUAAGUAUUCUUAUUUUGGCCCGACAAGGGAAAAAAAUACUAUGAGUAACAGAGAUGCUGUGAUUACUUCAGGUUAUGUAACAAAAGAGUAUGCAACAUAGGAUCAAACUAAAACAAUGACGACACAAAUUCCUUACCUCCUGCAACAAUGUACCUUCUAGCGUGUUGAAAAUCCGGAUUAGUGUACCCUUGGUGCUUGCUGUUGCUAGUAGGUUGCCUUCCCUCGUAAGAGCAAAACAUGCAAGAACUGAAUCAUGUGCUACAAUAGAUUUUGUGCUUUUUGAAGCAUUAUGUUUGACCCAAACUUGACCCUUUUGCAGACCAGGGCACACCAAGACAAGUUGAUCAGCAGUUUGUGAAACCUCACAGAGCCCCUUUGGGUUUGUAGUUGUUUCAAUUUGAAACAACAACUCCAGAUUAGAAAAAUUGUAGACAAAUAUCUUAUGCUCAAGAACUACCACGAGGCAGUCCUUCCGAAGCCUGAUGCGGCGCACCUCCGACCGGAAACAGAGCUCAUGGAUGCAACGGCUUUGCUGAUCAUCCCAGAUCAUGACCUUGUUUCGGGGAUAUUGUGGGUGGUCUCCAUGUCCAACAAAGGCUAAUAUAUUACUCCGAAAGAGCAUUUCAAUAAUUCCAAUACCACCUAUAUUUUCAAAGUUUCGACAAAAGGACUCACCGAAAGGGACACAGUUAUAUACUCCAAAACCGCGAUCAGUGCCGAUAGCAAAACAGCCGUAGUCUUGAUUGAAAGUAACAUGGUAUGCAGUUGCUGAAUGAUUGACAAAGACAUGAUUAGAACCAACACCUGAUUCGGGGUUUUUGAUAGAUGAACCAUGAAGAGACUCAUCAUUUACUUGCUCAACAGCAGCUUGUUGUGGCUGCAGCUGAUGUUGUUGUGCUUCUGGUUGCUCUAAAUAACGCUGGAGAUUUAGAGACUGAAACUUUGAGCUAGUAUUUGGGAGUGGAAAGGGAGGGGAGAAUGGUGAAGGAGUAUCCAUGGAUAGGGAUACGUAGAUGAAUUCAGUAUCAGGCUUAAUUACAAAGUAAGAAAGAUGUAUUGUUUCUAACUGAGGGCAUGGCACUAAAGCAAAGCUUUCAGACAACGUACAGGACCACAUUCAUACUCAUCAAUCUGCAUCAAAGAAGAAGAGACAUAAAACUAGCUGUACUAAUAAACAAUGAAUAACCAACAUUACCAUUUGCAAAAAAAAAAAACAUGAAUAACUAACCAAAGAUCACAACAAAAUCACUGCAAGGAAAAUGGUCAAACACUAGACAAAUAAAGAUUAUUGUUUAAGUAGGAUAAAUAGCCAGUCAAUUCGCUCUCCCCAAGAGUAGAGGGCUUUUGGUCUAGGGAAACUUUAAUGAGUCAAACACUCACAUGGUUAACUAUAAACUGACAAGUAAAUACUUACAUUCUCUGUAUAGUGUUGAACUGGUAGAGCAUCAAACAAUUUCUCAUACUAGUAGGUAAGAUAAUAUACUCACGUAGAAAAGGAUGACUGCAAAACUAAUCAGUAGUGGGAGAAGAGCUAAAGAAAAUGGUAACAGCACAUGAUCUACGUAUAUAUAUUUCCUUAAAAGCUACAAGUCCUUCUGUCAGCCCAAAGAAUGCUUAAGAUCAAGUAUAAAGCACAUUGUGAAAUGAUCUUAAAACCCGGAACUAAACGUGUUGCACAAUGCAUCAACAACUCACUGAAUGUGAGUUUAAACCCACUAGGAGCAAAACAGGCUGAAUGUUUUGUGUCGCUUAGCAGGCACUUCAGUGCAGUCACCAAAGCACCAGAUAUUAUUAUUUGUACCUUUGUGCUUAUAAUUGUUAUUCUUGAAAAACGAAUACAUGUUUGCAUCUUUUUCUUCAUUUGUGCCUUUCUUCAUUAAAGCCUGUGAUUUACGCUUAAAACCCCCAACAAACCUUAGCACUUUUCGCCUUUUAUAAUGCUACUUGGCGAGAGCAGUACUAGGAUCAGUGAUACCAUAGACAUUCCCAGUAUUACAUACUUUUUCAAGACAACACCUGUGAGCUUUGAAAAGCAUUACUCAUCUCAACUCUCAAGUUAGCAUUGUAAGAAUAGACUUAAUAUCUUAUAUCUAAAUAUUAAAUUUAGUUGGAAACCGAUACAAAUUAAGUUGAAGAAAUACAUGAAAUUCUUUUCUUCUACACCAACAAGUUAAGACUUUGAUGUGUAAUUCAUCCGUUCAACUUGCAAAAGUGUCUACAAUCAAAUUUACCUCCAAGAAAUCUCAUUUGUUACAAAUUCUACAAUGCGGUCCAAUUUAUAUGUAAGCUGGUGCAAGUUUUGUAGCAGGGGUGGUUUUGUAACUCAUUCUCAAGUAGAAAUUUUAUUUUACUUUUAAUUUUUAUAAUCAAGAAAUCCCCAACGGCCAAUGGUGCAUCGUUCAAAACUCGAUAGAUAAUCUGCCCACCCUUUUGUCCUUCUCCACUUAAACACCAUUCUGUCAGCCACAAACUGAACCUCACUCACACAUCAUAAGUCGUGCUCUUACCACUAGACCAAAGCCUAGGGGGCUUCUCAAGUAUCACAAUUUUUUACGAAAAUGAUUCAACCAGGUUUGAAGUACCCCAUUUUAGGUAAAGUUUUCUAGUUCACCGUCUCCCCUCCCCCUCCACACGACACAAAAAAUGACUAAAAGCACCAAAAUCUUCAAAGAAAAUAAACUAAUACAAGUAAAUACACAUGAUUAUUCAGGGUCAAAACACAAUACAAACUGCUCUAACCCCCUAUUGAUCAUAAAUGAACUUAUAAUAUCAAACCCAUCAUUCUUUAGCAUUACCCUUUUACCAAAACAAGAACAUAAGGCAUCACAAACAGAGUUGACAAUAACAAAUACAAGUCAACAUUAUAUAUUUGUAAAUGGUUCAUAUAAAACAAACCCCACAACCCCACAUACAUAUAUGACUACUCCACUUCAUCCAAAAUCAAAAAGGCAUCAAAUUUGUUUCAAUAUAUAAUAAACAUCCAGUUCAACAUACCCAACACUGAAAAAAAAUAUAUAUAUACAAGAAAAUGUACUACAAGUGAAGGAGAUAAAUUGAAAUUUGAAGGAGGAGCGAAUACAUACAUGAAGGAUGGAGACUGGAAAUGGUUCUUGAAUCUUGGAAUUUGAGGUUUUGAAUUUUGUAGAGAAGAGUGAAGGAGAAAAAAAAGUUCGGUUCUUGGAGAAAUGUAUAACUAUUAAUUUGGACUUAGUUUUAUGGGACUUUUUGGGUAGGUCCAUACAAACACGCGCGCAUUACUUGGCUCGAAAGCAACAAGGACUAGAUUUUUUUUAUACUCAUCCCAAUUUACGUGACACUUUUCGUAUUUCAAAAUUCAAACAAGUCUAUUUUUAUUGUAAAUUUUUCCUAUAUCUUUCAAAUAUUUUGAAUUGUCAAAUAUUGUGACUUAUAGUAUUUUCUUUUUAUGUAGAUUACAAAUAUAUAAAUUUCAUUCAAAAAAAUUGAAGAUUUCAUGUGCAAAUUUUCGUUUAAACUUAAAUUAUUUAACUCUCGAUAAAUGAAAAGUGUCACAUAAAUUAGGAUGGAGGAAGUAAAAGAAAUUCAAUGAAAUCAAAUGUCCCCAAAAAUAGAGAAAUAAAAUUUUGCAUGAUUGGAAAAAUUGGUGAAAGAAAAUUAUUGAUACUAUUAUAUGAAAAGAAUAUACUUCAUCUAUUCUUUACUAAAUGAAUUUUUGAGCCAAUGCAUACAUAUUUAGAAAAACAUUUAAAGACAUAAUUUGAAUCAUAAUUUUCACUAUUAUUCUUUGUAAAUCAUAAAUAUAACUUUUAGUAUAAUUUAUCUCCUAGAAAAUAUAAAACUUCAAUAAAUGAAAGGACAAAUAUCGGAAAAAUUUCAAACUUUGAACAAUUCAGUUAUUUUGAUCAAUGAAAAAAGACUAAAAAAUUUCAGUUAAUAUGAAACAGAGGGAAUACUUUUUUUUUAUCAUAUGUGUUCUUGGUUUUCCUUAAUUAGUAUUAGAGUGUGUGUUUUUUUUUUUCUAUAAGAUUAUAUUUUUUUAUAGGUUUUGUAUAGGGGUAUUCACAAUUUGGAUAAAAAUUGCCAAAUUGAAAAAUCAAACCAAAUUGAUUAAGUAAAUCGAUUUGGAUUUAGUUUUAUUUUGUUAAAAAACGAAGAUAUAACUGAACUAACAAAUUAUAUACAUAUAUUUUAUAAUUUUAUAUACAUAAUAUAUAUAUAUUUUAUAAACAAUUUUAGAUAUAAUUUUAUAUACAUAAUAUAUUGUUUUUUAUAAGCAAUUUUAGAUAUAAGCAAAAACGCCCAAGGUGAGGUAUUUAUCUUAUUUGUUUUGGUGUAUAUGAGUAUUUAUGGUAGUUCUUAGAGAGACUAGAAGUCCCAAAUUGAUGAGAUCGAAACAAAUAUUUAAAUGUGUUUACUACUAAACAUUACAUUUCUCUUCCUCAAUUUGUAAUCGCUCCUUCAAAAUAUUACUCAAUAACCUUGAAAAUGAUGGAUCUUGAACUUUUGAUCGCAUCUUAUCCCACAGGCAAAUUCAAGAUAAAAAAUCAAAAGUUCCAUUUAUGAGAUAAAACUUGUUAAACUUCUUGGAGCAAGUGGGGUCAAAAGUUCAAGGUCAUUCAUGUAAAUCACACAAAAAUGUUACAUUUUCAAAAGUCCAGCAAUGUUGUUCAAAAGAGGAACCAAAAAAUAGAAGAGAAUUAGAAUGGGAACUAGUCUAUAAUUAACUGGCUGUGUGCCAAAACUAUAUUAUUCACCAAAACAAAAGCACUUAUUACUUAAUAAAUAAUAUUAAAAAAAAACGAGCAUGAAGUCAAGCCCCAAUGCGAGUACUGGACACUGGGUGAUGGACCAACUAUUUCUGCAAUUACCAAUAAUUCUAACACUGCCUUCACUUUCUAAAGCUUCUGAGAUGCGGAACUGAUCGACUCAGUGAUUUUACCUACUGUUCUCAUUGCUGAACCAACAUCAAGUUGAUCAAGUGUCUUGAGGAACCAAUAACCUUAUAUGUAUCUAAUUGAUCUUCUUAAGGCAGUUAACAUAUGUGUAACUUGAGAAAGAAACAAAUAGCUUACGAAACCUGAAAAAGGCAAACCAAAAGAUAGUUAUAAAACAUGUAAUGUGUGUGGAUAAAAUGUUUUUGGGAAGACUCAUCUGGCUAAAUACCGAUGUCUUAGUCCCAAGAUCGAGUGAUAUCAGCAACUACUUUUUUACUGAAAGCAAUACAUCAAGGACAACAGUGUGAUGGCUUGCAAUCUAGAGGGCUGGAUGUGUCUUACAGAUCAUUUACUUUAUAUUUGAUUUAUCUUCUCCCUUCCAUAAUGGAAUAAACCACUACUCCCCAAAGAAGAAGGAAAUGAAUGUCUGGAAAGCGAAGCUGAGAUUGAAAUGACCCUUCCUUUGUUUCUUUUUUUCGGACUUUUUUAUACGUGUACCAUCGUAAGCAAGAUAAUAUAGCAAAGGUAUUACAUACCAAACCCACUGGCUCUUGUGCUGAGCCAUUGCAGCUAAGCUCCUUCUGGGAUGUUCAUUUAGCAAGCAAUGCCUUACUCCGCUUAAAUGGAACUUAGCAGAUAGAAGGGACAGCCAUAUGUCAACUGGUCCACUGUACUUGCGCAAUAUGUUAGUGCUAACCUGAAAAUGAUUAAUCACAGCCUCCAGUCAAAAACUUAAACCGUAAAAUUGUGAUAUAUAGGCAAAGAUUCCAAACAUAGUCAUAGAAAUGCAAAACCAAUGAACAUUUGAAUUCUUCAAGCUAUGAGAUGAGCUUAUAAGUUAUAAGGGACGACAUGGUCAGUAAAAUUUGUAUAGUCAACUCCAACAUGCUUGGAAGUGAGACAUCGACGUAGUUGUUUUAUGAUAUUCCCAAGAAACUAAAAUAAAAAUCUACAAGUAGAGCCAAAGGUAAUGAGACAAGGGAAGAACUCACAAGCUCCCAGGCUUCAACUUCUUUAUGUGAAGUAUCUUGCAAUAGUUUUCUGCAAAUGAAAAAACUAUUUUAUCAAGAUGUGCUACAAAGUAUGGAAGUAGAAAGGUAUUUGUAUUGUUAAAGUAGUAAUUUUAUCAACAGCAUGGGCAGUUGAAAGACAUAAAAUAGUGGUGUGCCUUCAAUGUUAAACAAAGUAGAUAUUGCAAGGAAAUUUAAUUAAAAAUAAAGCUACUAAUUCUAAGCCUUACAUGUUUCACUACCAAAGAUUUUAGAAGACUAGUGGAAGAAUAUGCUACAACAACAAUUACACCUCAAUCCCAAAACCAAGUUGGAAUCGGUUACAUGAAUCCUCACUAACCGUGUCACUCUAAGCAAGAAGUAAAAAAAGAAAAAGAAGUACUAGAAUUCUUUACAGUUUCUACUUUCUACUGGUAUAUAAAUCUCUGAUAUGACUAACAGACUCCAAAAGUCAUAGGACCUAAAGUAAACACACAAACAUGGCUAUAAUAACGGGAGAAUUAUGGUUAAGUUAGUUUGUUAAGUCAUGAAGAAGAUUUAGUUUGAAGGCUUACAUCUACAAAGGAGUGUCCAACUCAUCAACGUUUCCUUGUCAUACAACUUACACAACAUGUUAUCGGCAUGUCAAUCAAUUACAAACUCAACAAAGAAAAGUAAAGAAUCCCUCAUAAUGAUGCCUGUUCAAAAAACUUAAUCAAGUAUAAGAGAGAUAUCAAACUAGAAAGAAAUAGGAUCAUUAUGAUUUCUGAAACUUUGCCAGUAUUAAAUAUCACUGUCUAUACUAAACAAAUCUGUUUAUAACAUCUGCAAGAGCACAUCCAAUUACAACCAGAAUAUAUGGUGACUAAUUUCAUUUGCAAAGUACUACUAAUGGCUACCAGAAUAUGACAAAUAACCUACCGUACACCUUGAUGAACAUCUUGAUGGUUACAGUGACCUGAGACUCCAUAAUUAUCAAAAGUUAUGACCUGGAGAACAAAUGUCCAUGAGAUGAAAAGGUGACAUAAUAAGAUUUUCCUCUGCUCACAAAUAAUCUAAGGCAACAUUUUGGAUAAAAACACAAAGGAAAAACAGAAAUUACAAAAUGAAAAAGUGACUGCAAAUUUAUUUGUGAAAAGAAGAAUCAUAUGAAUUAUUGAGAUUGUAAUAUUCAGUGUUAAAAUAAAAUACUACACUUAUUACAGUAUUUGAAAGUCUUGAGUAUUUUCUAAACGCAAAAUUUAUUGUCUACAACAUGAACUAUGAAAUAGGCAACCGCUGCCUCAUUCCCUAAAUUUGGAACAAAAUGAGGUUACCCCCAUCUUUCUUUAUGAAAGUUCCGGCUUUCCUAUAUAAUACCGAACAUUAAAGCUGCAUAAAUACAACGGUCUAUCACAUUAAAAUUUUGCACUUGUUUCAAAGGUCCAUGAUAUAUUUGGUAGACACCAGGUAAGAUAUAUGUAAACCAUUCUAUUGGGUUCUCUGCUUAAAUUCCAGAUUGGUAGGCCUCAAUGAAGACAUAAUAAUGGAUUCUUCCGUAUAAAUUCCAAUUAAGCAGGGGGUAAAUCAAAUCAAAUUCAGAAUAAUGAAAAGUAUAUUCUUCAUGGACAGCUAGGAACUUAUCAUACGCAGGAAGGGUGCAACUGAUUCAGACUGUUAUAAUUGGAAUUCAAGCAUAUUGGGCACAAAUAUUCAUGCUACCAUCCAAAAUGUUGAAACUAAUUGAAGCACAUUGCAGAAGCUACCUAUGGUCUGGAAGCAAUACCAUCACACGGAAAGCCUAAGUAGCUUGGGAAAAGGCAUGCACUCCAACGUGUGUGGGCGGUAUAAAUAUCACUAAUUUGCUCCUUUGGAAUAAGGCUGCAAUCACAAAGAACUACUGGGAUUUGGAGCAUAAGGAAGACAGGAUGUGGAUUAGGUGGGUACACACCUAUUACAUAAUAGGACAACUUCUGAGCAAUCUCCAAGUGCCAAAGCAAGCGUGUUGGAUGAUUAGGAAAAUAUUUGAAGCAAGGGCCUUUGCAAUGCAGUCACACUCACUUGAUUCUAAGAGGAGCGUCAUACAAAAGGUAUACAAUCAGCUAAUUGAUGAUAAACCUACGGUUCCAUGGAAAUGCUUAAUAUUUAUGAAUCCAGCUAGACCAAAGGCUAGAUUUACUACCUGGCUACAGAUACAUGGGAAGCUACUGAGCACAGAUAGGUUACUAAAAUGAGGAAUGGUGAUCGACAGUUCGACACCAAGUGCAGCAUGUGCCAAACACAAGAUGAAUCCAGAGAGAACCUAUUUGUACAAUGUCCUUUCUCCAAAGCUCUAUGGGAUAGAGUACUACAGUGGAUGCAGAGACCAAUGUAUGAUCCUACCACCUGGGAACAACACUUCAGUGGAUCAUUAGAAUAACAAAGGGCAAGACAAAGCAGGCUCAACUCUAUAAAAUGGUAUACUCUGAAAUUACUCAUGCAUUGGGGAAUGAGAGAAACAUGAGAAUAUUUGAAAAACGAAGUCGUGCAAGGGAAACAAUAGCUAAGGAGAUUGUAUAUAUGUUAUUUGUGUUAGAGCUCCCCCUAGAAUACAAUAUGAAGUCCAUGGCUACAUUUUUUAGAUUCUGUUGUUCUAAUUAGCUCAUAGUUUAAGUGGCAAGUUGAAAUAGUUUUGCUAAGUUGUAGCAAGCUAUAGCAAUGCAAUUCAAUACUUUGGUGAUUAAUAAAAGUCAGUUAGUUAGCCCAAAAAAAAAAAAACUAAAAUGAACAAAUAAACAAACUACAGAUCAAGAUUUUAAUCUAGCAAAGUAGAAAAGCCGCUUAUACGAUGAAAUCAACAGGAGGAAACUUGAAUAAGCGAUCAAAGAAGCAGAAGCUACUGAAGAUUAUCUGAAAGACCAUCUUAGUUGAACAAGAUAAUUAACUGAAAUCACUUACCAAAUCAAUUGCACAAUUGACAAUUUCCUCCUUGAUAAUCUUUGACAAUAACUUAGAGUUCCAUGAUUUGCCAAAACCAUCCUAGUCAGAACUACGCAUUAGAACUCUGCUUAAACAUUUAGAACAUAUAGAUAUACCAUUCUGAUACAGCCAGCAUACCUGUAGAUCUGGAUGAUCAAGGACUUUCACUUGCUUUUGUGGAACCUACAUGAGUAAAUUAAUAGAGAACAGAAAGAUCAAUGACUCAUAUCUGACUAGCUUCUCCAACAUUUUACAAAAAAAUCAGUUAUAGCAAUUCGCAGAAAUAAAGGAAUCCGUUAUUGUUUUACAUGAAAGCCAACGUAAAAGAUCACAGAUCUAGCAUUAAUCUUCACAUCACCUUAAGCACAAUCGAGGCUAAAUAAAGUUCUUCUUUUCUGACACUGCCCAUACCAUCUGCAUUACCUAUAUUUCAGUACAAUGCAACAAAGCAGAAAAAAUAUACUGAAAGUUAGAAUCAGUGAUAGACUAUUGGUUAUCUAGGAUAAGGAUUUGCUAAAGAACAGUUCAAGUGAUUUGCGUUCUGAUCAUUUAAACAUUCUACACUUAAAAAGAACUGCAAUAGUUCAAAUUUAGAAAGCGAAUCUCAGGCUUAACAACACUGCUUGAAUUGGAUCAUACUUCUAAGAAAAAUCAAUUGCUUUAGUAUUUCAACCAGUUCAAAAAUCAACUUUUCAUUUGAAAUUUAUUUUUUGUGUCUUGAGAAAUAUAUCUGGCAACCAAAAUACACAUGCCACCCAAAAAUUAGGCAUAAACAAUUUUUUUAUAUUCAGCAUCUGCAACAAAAAUUGAAACAUUCUACAAGUCUUACCUGUUGACAUGCAUAAUAUGUGUAAAUUACAUCCUCUCGAAGACAAAUAAUUAAGGGUUGGAGUAAAGAACCUACAGUAUAGAGUAAAAAGCACCAUAAGUCAUUAUCUCACAAUAGUAAUGCUUUCAGCAAAUAGAUAUAAUAAUGAUUACUUAAUAACAAGAUUACCCAAACAUUGAAAGGUCAUUGUAGCAUAUGUGGGAACUGACAUCGAGAGUUAUGAUCCUUGUUACCAACUACUUUUAAACACAAUUUGCAAAGAAAAAUAUCCAGGAAAGGAUGCUUCUCUUAGAACAAGCGUUAAGGAAAUCUGAUAAAAUUUAGAAAAAGAAAGUUAUAGCAUUUUAUUAGGUCAUAGAUUUUCAAGUAUCAUAUGUAUCAGGACAUCGUAUGCUUAACAAAACAAAACAAAAGGAUUGAAAUCAUAAUUUAUAUGAAGACAAUUCAUAAUUCAGUUCUUUAAUAAUUUAUUUAACAAAGGGGUCAUAAUUGAAUCUUAUAGUUUAGCCCACCAAAUUUCUAGUCCACCGUGUUUCAAGAUGGACAUACAAAUCCAUGGACUUCAUUCUUCUGUGAAUGUGUUCAACUAUGAGCUCGACUGAUAAAAUUUGUUUCGAUUGAGCAACUUUAUGUUAGUGUAUAACUAACGACACAUAGGGCUCUCAUAAUCUUGAUCAAAACUAACGUAUAGUUGAUGAGUCCACAAAUUGGACUCAUAUAGGGCUAUAUUUUGAUAGAAUUAGUAUCCUCAAAUGCAAUUUUAUCUCAAUAUCUGAUGAAAACCCUUAAGUUUCAGGUAUUUGGAGUUUGAGGGAAAGCAUGGACACUACUUAGCAAAAAAGGAACUAAAGGCAGCUGAAAGAAUGAACAAAUGAAGAUCUGAGUAUCGCCGAACCCAUUCGGCGAGUCGCCAAAAGGUCUUAUCCUCGCCUUUUGUUCCAGUGUGCUAAGCCCGGAAGGAAAGGAUCAAAUCGGCGGUGAAAAAAAGCAGUCGGCGUAUCGCCGUGCAGUUCCGCGAAGCAGUACUAUGUCGCCCAAUGAUCCAAAACACGACGAUGCUGAAGGAUAGAGCAAGACGGCGAUGAAACCUACCAAAGGGAGGAUCGCCGAGUUGAUCGGCGAUCUCGACUAACGAUGCCGAAUGAUCCGCUGCAGCACAGAUUUUUGAAAACUAUAAAUACUCGUUAAGAGUUGUAGCUUAAAAUGAGAUUUUUAAUAUAUAAUUUUUAACAUAGAUUUUUGAGUUCUAAGUUUGGAGAGGGUUUUGAAGAACUUGAAGAUUCAAAGGGUUUCAACUCCAACAAUUUUGGUUUGGGUCUCUUGGAUUCUUCACUCUUGACUUGUUUUGAGACUAAAAUCUUCAUACCCAUUUGAAUGCAAACUCAUUUUGGUAUAAAUUUCUCUCUUUUACAUGUCUAGCUAAAACCCCAAUUCUUGGGGUGUGAUUAUGUGAAUAUGGGUUAGAUUAAUUGUUGGGUGUUGCUUGCUGAUAGUUUAUUUGUUGUUUAGAUGUGAUUUCGUUUAGUAGUUGUGUUGGAACUUAAUGAAAUUGUAGUUGCAAAUACGAUUACACCUUUGUGUUUUCGGCUUGCUCGAGAGAGAGGUCGUAAAAGUAAGACUACUAAAUUGAUGGCCGAUGGGAGUGGGUCGACAUGAGGUUCAGCUCGAGAGAGUGAACCCUAGUCCUUCUCCCACACACUCAGCUCGAGAGAGUGAGUGGGCUAAGGCGGAGGCUGUUCUUCGGCAAGUGGGUGUCCGGGAGGAACCCAUUUGAUUCGGGGUAAGUUGUUCAAGAGAAAGCUUACCCCCACUAUAGUCUAGCCUAGUCACAAAUAUUCAACGAAAUUACUAUCAAAAGCAUGUACCCAACGAUCUAGUCUAACCCGUAUUCCUAUCACAUCCCAAGAAUCCCCUCUCCUUGCUUAGUACUCUUUGCAUUUUUGUUGUUUUUGCUUACUUGUCACAAACCCUCAUUGAUAAUUGACGCUUGCAUCACCCCUUAGAUUUAACAUGUUUAUAUUCGAUAAUGUUUUUAGCUAUGACUAAUUAGAACUUAAUUUUAUUUUUCUAUUAAUUCUCAAGCCCACUCCCUUGGGACUCGACCCCAACCCUUGGUUGUGUUACUAUACUAUUGUACGAUCGUAAACACUUGCAUUGGAAGUUGUGUCUUGAUUACGCAAACAUCAAUAGUUCCAAGUGUCUUAGACUGCAACUCCCUCUAUAGCAGUUCAAAAGUUUGCAUUGCUCAGAAAAUUAAUGAUAUGAACAAAUAACAACUCAAAGUUAACAUGUUCAACCUUACAUAGACUCAUCAUCAGGAUGGGCAAUAACCAAUAAGACAUUUCUCUUGCGAAAAACUCCACCUGAAACAUAAAAAAAAUAUACAUAUUAAGAAGGGAAGCAAUUAGCUGUGGAACAAACACUAUAGGAAAGUUGUAUGUAUGCAUGUAUUUAGAUUCUAAGAGAAUAAUUCAUAACAACACCAAGGCAGUCAGUAAAUACAAAAGAAAACGAGAAUUGACAUUUUGUUGAGAAGUCACCCAUACCAUCAUUUAAAACUGCAGCUUGUGAGGCAGAGAGAGAUUCGUGGAGAAUUUUAAAGAGUGAAGCCACCCACAGCACAACCAAUGUAAUGAUGAUUACUAGCCACUCCAUUUAAUUUUUUUGCCAGCAGAACUACAGAUAGCACAGAGUUGUAUCUGCAUGAAAAUCUAAAUGAGUUGUAUUACUAAAACCCAUUAUAGGCAAGUGAAGCCAGUAGUAGAGAUCAAACAUCAAUAAUUCAAGGAGAUCAUGGAGACUACCAACAAUAAACCUUACAAUAAUCAGUAUCUCUACAUUCAAUCAUUUUUUGUCAAUACUUGUCAAAAGAGAGUAGAAUAGAAUGGUUUUUUGGGGAUGUGAUCUUAAUAGAGGAAUAUCACCUCUUCUAUGAAAAAACAUUAAAAGAAAUAACAGUUAAUAAGGGAAUUAUAUCCUUUAAUUUUAAUCAUUAGCCAUAACUAUUACAUUUCGAAAGAUAAAAGGAACACUUACCAAUUUUCUUCUAUAGAACAAGGAUGUUGGAUCUAGUACACAGAAAUUGGAACUGGUUCAAUCUUAUUGUGCAGUUUACAAACCCUGCAAAAAUAUUAAGCCUAUUUACAUCAAUAUGUUACGGAUUCAAAGACACCUUUUUUCUAAAAGAGGAAAAAAGAAAAGGAAAAAAAUAAUUGGAAAAGCUAACAUAAACUCAUUCAUAUAGUGACAUAAUGUACAAACAACCAGAUAAACUAGCUCUUCAAAAAGAAAAUUUUCAAUAUAAGUUCUUGUAAGACUAAUUGAACCUUGUUAGUCGUUUUAACUUGCAGACUAAUUGAAUUAACACUUCAUGUUGUGCAUCUUGAUUCAGAUUUGCAUCUAUGUUUGUUCCACUUUCUUUUCGCCACACAUAAUUUGCUCUUUUCAAGUGUUCAGUUUUGACUUGCAUAAUUGAGUUUGAUUUAUUUUAACUCCGGCAAAUGCUAAAAGAUGUUUGGGUUUUGUCUUCUUGUGUAUUAACCUUGUUUAUUACAAUAUGCAUUGGAACUGUUCAGAAAUACCGUGCGAGUUUGAGGAGUUUGUAGUUAAAUUUUGGUACAUGAAUGUAUUGCUGUAAAAAUCUGUAUUUAUUUUCUUUGGUUUUGCUUUUCUUGUUCCUUUUUCUGUGCAGGAGUUUAGUCUGGUCAAACAGACCAGGAUUUGAAGACACGAGACAUAAACUCUACUCAAGGGCGGAGCUAGGUAGGAGCAAGGAGUGUCAUCCAAACCCCUUCCAACAGAAAAUUACAUUGUAGAUACAAGGUAAAAAAUAUAUUUUUAAUGUAUAUAUAUUAGAUGUUGAAUCCCUUGGCUUUCAUAUUUUUGAACCUCUUAAUGAAAUUUUGGUUCUACCCAGAGUCUACUAAUAGUUUAAGGUAAUUAGGUCGAUUUUGGAUAACUUUUGUUCUAUUAAUUCAAUUUCUGGUUUGUUGAUAGACUAACCUAUAACUAAAUUACUUCAAUUUCUGGUUUGUUGAUAGACUAACCUAUAACUAAAUUACUUCAAUUUCUGGUUUGUUGAUAGACUAACCUAUAACUAAAUUACUUCAAUUUCUGGUUUGUUGAUAGACUAACCUAUAACUAAAUUGAAACGAAUCCAUCUUUUUCAAUGCAAAUUCCCUUAUUAUAACAUUAUUAUCCCUGCAGGGUUUACUAAGGUUUGAAAAUCUUCAUGUAUUUAAUAAUCUCAAUAUACCACAAUACAGCAGCAGCAGCAGCAUUUGAAAAGGACACAGCAUAAACCAAAUCAGAAAAUAUACGUAAGAUGGAUUCCAAAGUGUAGAUUAUUAGGCUUUAUUAAUGCGUUUGAGAAGAAUGACAAGUGUGUAUUUAACUGUAAAGAUGACGAAAUAGGAGUGAUUAGCUUACCUGAACAAACAUGGAUCGGCCAUGGAGAGAUGGAAUUUUGGAGAAGAAGACGGGAAUAUCAAAGAGAAAAGAGUUUGUUUUUUUUAUCAUAUUUUAACAAAUUAUGACAAAAUUAUUAUUUUCAUUCAAUACUAAUUUUAUUAUUAAAUAACUUUAUAAAUAAUAAUAGUAAAAUUUAAAAUUUCAAAAUAUAAUUUGCUCGGUACAGAGCAACAUUAUUGAGAAGAGGGUAUUUUUGUCAUGUUGGACUGCCAUGUCUGUAAAGAUAACGUUUUAAGGAUAUUUGUGGUCCAAAACAUAGACGGCAAGGAUAGUUUUGAUCCUAAACAUAAUUAAAGGGAAUAUAUGAGUUAUUUCGAAUAGUUCGAGGAUAAUUUUGAUCCUUUUCCGAAUAAAAAAUGGAAAAUGAUUAUCGUAUGUUUGACCAAUUUUCUAGGGACCCAAUUGCUUAUUUUGAGAAAUAUGUUUUUGAAUAUAGCUUUCCAAAGCAGCGAUUUUAGAAAGAACUACUAUAUGUUCCAACAAAUUCAUUUAUGAAGUGUGUAUAAGAAUUUUAAAAUAUUUUAUCUGACCAAUAUUUCAAAAAUGUCAAAUUACAAAUAUGAUAUUUAUUAUAGAAUUACAUUUAUUCAGAUAAAUAAAUGAUUUUAAAUAUUUUAAAAGAGUUUAGGUAAGAGUUCAUUAAUUUAAUUUAAAUCCAAACAUACAACAAAAUACAUUAAAUUUUAAUCAAUAUAGUUAAACAAAAAGGAGGGGUAAACUGUUGUGUAUUUAUAUUUAAGAGAUAUAAGUAUUAAAUAAAUGAUAAAUAAUUUUUCAUAAAUAUAAGUGUCUGAAACCCAACUUAAAACUAGAGAGACUAAACCAACAUGAGUUUGUAGCGAUCGGACUACUUCAUCCUUAACUAGAGAUUUCAAAUUCGAGUCCUAAGUAAAGAUAAAAACCAGUUGGAAGUCCCACCCCCAAUGGGCAAUCCGAAUUUAGUCGGACCUCCGAAGGGAAAAAAAACAGAGAGGCUGUUAAGCUUUAAAAUAGGUAAAUAAAGAGAUUUCUUGUAGCAUAAUCUCUUUCAUUUCUGACUCAUAUAUGCACAAAAAGCCUCGCCAUAAAAUAGAACUGGAAAAGAACUCAAAACUAGAGGAAAAAGGUAAUCUUUAACCCUUUCCUAAAAUGCAUAAAAAAAUGUUAAAAGACUGGCCAAGCAAAUUAUAUGAGAGGAUAAUAUAUCCAUUGAUUACAUCUAAAUUGAAAGCCAAGGCCAUUUACCUACAACAGAUCAUCAUCAUCAUCAUCCCCACUACUAAAGGAUUCAACAAGCUCACUGUCAUCUUCAUCUUCACCAUCUGUCACAAUCUCCAAUAUACCUCCACCACCAAAGUCCACACCAUCUACAAUAAAGUCUCCGUCUUCAUCUUCUUCGUCAUCAAGCUCACUCACACUAUCAUCAUCAUUGCUCAAAUCAUCUGCAUCGCUUUCACCGUCCCCAUCAAGAUCCGUUCCAAGGAUCGCUUCAUCGUCAAUGUCAUCAUCAUCGUCUUCAUCCUCAUCUUCACUUUCAGCAUCAUCAGGGUCUGAAUCAUCCUCAGUUGGCCUCCUCCGACCAAUUUCAUACACCCUAGCAGAAGAGUACAUCUCAUCUUGGUCAUCCAUUGUGACCAGCCCAACAAAUGAAUCAGUUGGCUCCGUCGCAAAGUCAAGUACACAACGGUCUACUGGAAUGGUUGCAAUGUCAGAGUAGUUAACAGCAUCCACCGUACGGAAAGCAGCAAAGAGAGGAUGUUUAACACGACGUGUCUGGAAUGCGGACAUGACAUCCUCAAGAUUUCUUCUCAAGAUGGCAUAUAUCACAUCACCACUUGCAUUAAAUGUUAUUACAGUCUGGUCCAAAGACGGUACACUUCGCAGAAGCCUGAAGUUCCGCAAAUCCCAUACCUCAGAAUUUAUGAUGACCU